Molecule: long non-coding RNA, 965 nt
Organism: Tachysurus fulvidraco (yellow catfish)
Lineage: Eukaryota; Metazoa; Chordata; Actinopteri; Siluriformes; Bagridae
Exons: 4
Source: RefSeq, a predicted model, not a curated record
CCCACAGCGCCUGUGUGAGCAGACAGAGCUGCUGGAGGCUUAAACAGAAAGGCAGAAGAUCUGCAGAUCAGCGAGCGAACCGCCAUCUUACCAACAACUACACUGAUAGCGAUAUACUCGCUUCAGGGGUCAUGGGGAAUCUGGUGAAUAUCACCUGGUGAACAGGGCACAAGUCGAAGGAUACUCUGGAUUCGGUACCAACCCGUCACAGGGCACAAUCACAUACACAUUGAAACACACAUUCACACAUUACAAACAAUUUAGAGAUAUGAACCAGCCUAAAAGAUCUAUGUCUUUGGACUGUGGAAGGAAACUAGAAAUGUAUACACCUGGUGGAGGUGGGCGAUUUUAAACAUAAAACAGCAUAAAAUAAUAACCAAUUUGGCUUUCUACAUGAUUCAGUUUGAGCCUCAACACAGAUAUGGAGAUAAAUUGAUGACAAACUCCAGCUGCUGAAGUUCAUUUGAUAUUGACUGUAUGCACGACUUCAUUAGGAGUCAAUGAGUGAAUGAGGGCUUCAGUGAUCUCUAUAUGAUGAUUGGGAAACGUCUUAAAUGUGCUGAACAUUAUCAUGGCUGCUACCUGACAAUAAUGACUGAACCUCAGUUCUGAUUGGAAGAUGAGAAAAACCAGAGCAUAUUUAAACAGCAUUGUAUUGCUAGAACUGUGUGUGAUUAUGUGUGAUUGUGUGUGUGGAAGCUGUGCUCUUUUUUAAAUUUUUAUUCUUUGUAUCUAGUUUAGAAGUGUUGAUUGAGUUUUGUCUGAUAAUUUGUUAGACUUUUUGUUUCUGGAAUUGAUACAAAUAAAAGGCAAAAAAUAUUAAUAUUGUUAGUUAUAAUAGUUAAUAUUUGUAACACUUAUUUUUUAUUCUUUGUUUGAGUUCUACUGUGAAUUUGGAAAGAGAGGGGGUGCCAUUUUUAUCAUGUUUUCUCCUCUUUGUUAGUGAGGGAGUUAUUGUAUUUUGA